GGGGAAGGGUAGCUUGCUACCUGACCUAGCGGCGGACGGGUGAGUAAUGCUUAGGAAUCUGCCUAUUAGUGGGGGACAACAUUCCGAAAGGAAUGCUAAUACCGCAUACGCCCUACGGGGGAAAGCAGGGGAUCUUCGGACCUUGCGCUAAUAGAUGAGCCUAAGUCAGAUAAGCUAGUUGGUGGGGUAAAGGCCUACCAAGGCGACGAUCUGUAGCGGGUCUGAGAGGAUGAUCCGCCACACUGGGACUGAGACACGGCCCAGACUCCUACGGGAGGCAGCAGUGGGGAAUAUUGGACAAUGGGCGAAAGCCUGAUCCAGCCAUGCCGCGUGUGUGAAGAAGGCCUUUUGGUUGUAAAGCACUUUAAGCGAGGAGGAGGCUACUGAGAUUAAUACUCUUGGAUAGUGGACGUACUCGCAGAAUGAGCACCGGCUAACUCUGUGCCAGCAGCCGCGGUACUACAGAGGGUGCGAGCGUUAAUCGGAUAUACUGGGCGUAA
RNAcentral lists this ribosomal RNA (500 nucleotides) under uncultured bacterium. RNAcentral's name for it is "bacterial SSU rRNA". It matches the Rfam family "Bacterial small subunit ribosomal RNA", at positions 68 to 563 of the family's 1533-position model. The record is from RNAcentral.